RNAcentral lists this ribosomal RNA (816 nucleotides) under uncultured bacterium. RNAcentral describes it as "bacterial SSU rRNA". It matches the Rfam family "Bacterial small subunit ribosomal RNA", at positions 54 to 854 of the family's 1533-position model. The record is from RNAcentral.
CAUGCAAGUCGAACGGUAACGCGGAGAGAAGCUUGCUUCUCUCCGGCGACGAGUGGCGAACGGGUGAGUAAUACAUCGGAACGUGUCCGCUCGUGGGGGACAACCAGCCGAAAGGUUGGCUAAUACCGCAUGAGUUCUACGGAAGAAAGAGGGGGACCCGCAAGGGCCUCUCGCGAGCGGAGCGGCCGAUGACUGAUUAGCCGGUUGGUGAGGUAACGGCUCACCAAAGCAACGAUCAGUAGCUGGUCUGAGAGGACGACCAGCCACACUGGGACUGAGACACGGCCCAGACUCCUACGGGAGGCAGCAGUGGGGAAUUUUGGACAAUGGGCACAAGCCUGAUCCAGCUAUUCCGCGUGUGGGAUGAAGGCCCUCGGGUUGUAAACCACUUUUGUAGAGAACGAAAAGACACCUUCGAAUAAAGGGUGUUGCUGACGGUACUCUAAGAAUAAGCACCGGCUAACUACGUGCCAGCAGCCGCGGUAAUACGUAGGGUGCAAGCGUUAAUCGGAAUUACUGGGCGUAAAGGGUGCGCAGGCGGUUGAGUAAGACAGAUGUGAAAUCCCCGAGCUUAACUCGGGAAUGGCAUAUGUGACUGCUCGACUAGAGUGUGUCAGAGGGAGGUGGAAUUCCACGUGUAGCAGUGAAAUGCGUAGAUAUGUGGAAGAACACCGAUGGCGAAGGCAGCCUCCUGGGGCAUAACUGACGCUCAGGCACGAAAGCGUGGGGAGCAAACAGGAUUAGAUACCCUGGUAGUCCACGCCCUAAACGAUGUUAACUAGUUGUUGGGAAGUAAAAUUCUCAGUAACGCAGCCA